Molecule: ribosomal RNA, 832 nt
Filed under: Halicephalobus sp. CFB173
Lineage: Eukaryota; Metazoa; Nematoda; Chromadorea; Rhabditida; Panagrolaimidae
Description: partial small subunit ribosomal RNA
Rfam family: Eukaryotic small subunit ribosomal RNA
Source: RNAcentral
UACACGUGAGUUCACGGAAACGCGCAAGGGUCUCUUCAACAGGUUAAAAGUGUAUGGGGAGAGAUCCCUUAAAGGGUAUUUGCGGGAAAUUUGGAGGUUAAACCCGCCCAAAAGGGUGUAUAAAUUUGGUGUAUAAAUGCCGGUUUUUGAGUUAAAACCAAGGGGUUUGGCCCUAUAAGUUUAAUCUAGAUAAAGGGGUUCCCUACAGAGUUAAUUUUGGAGGGAAGCCGGGUUUGUGUUUGUCCCAUUUAAUUUAUAAACCGGUUUUUGAAGGGUUUGGGGUUUCCCGGGAAAGGGGAAAUUGGGGUUUUUUUCCGGGAGAAAUCCCUUAAAAAGGGUUUUUCCUUCCAAGGAAGGCGCCGGGGCGGAAAAUUUCCCCUUUCCGGGGGGGGGGGGGGGGGGGGGGAAAGGCCAAUUUCCCUUUUUUUUGGGGGGGACCCUUGGAAGGGUUUAAUUUUAAAUCCCUUAAGAGUUUCCAAGGGAGGGGCAAUUUGGGGCCCGCCGGCCCGGGAAAUUCCGGUUUCCUAUUGCCCUUAAAUUGCGUUUCGGGUUAAAAAUUUGGUGUUUCCAAGGUUCGGGAUGAGGAGGGUUUAAUUUAUUGUUAAUACUAUUUCUACCGUUAAGAGUUUAUAUGGUUAAUACCCAUAUAACUCAGUUACUUUGAGUAAAUCAGAGUGCUUAGAACAAGCGUAUUGCUUGAAUGGUUGUGCAUGGAAUAACAAUACAAUGCAUUGAUAUUUGUUUUGUUGGUUUUAAUGUCAAUGAAUGAUUAAAAGGAACAAACGGGGGCAAAAGUAUCAUAAGGCGAGAGGUAAAUUUCGUGACCCUGANC